Molecule: ribosomal RNA, 460 nt
Filed under: uncultured bacterium
Lineage: Bacteria
Description: partial 16S ribosomal RNA
Rfam family: Bacterial small subunit ribosomal RNA
Source: RNAcentral
CCUACGGGGGGCAGCAGUGAGGAAUAUUGGUCAAUGGCCGGAAGGCUGAACCAGCCAUGCCGCGUGAAGGUCAGUGCCCUAUGGGCUUUAAACUUCUUUUGUGCGGGAGCAAUAAUGGUCACGUGUGGCCAGACGAGAGUACCGUACGAAUAAGCAUCGGCUAACUGCGUGCCAGCAGCCGCGGUAAUACGGGGGAUGCAAGCGUUAUCCGGAUUUAUUGGGUUUAAAGGGGGGCUAAGAUGGGAUGUAAGUCAGCGGUGAAAUGCCUCCGGUCAAAGGGGUGAAGUGCCAUUGAUACUGCCUGGCUGGAAUGCGGAUGCCGUGGGAGGAAUGUGUGGUGUAGCGGUGAAAUGCAUAGAUAUCACACAGAACACCGAUUGCGAAGGCAUCUCACGAAUCCGCGAUUGACGCUGAUGCACGAAAGCGUGGGUAUCAAACAGGAUUAGAUACCCUAGUAGUC